This 253-nucleotide ribosomal RNA is filed under the name uncultured bacterium. Its description in RNAcentral is "partial 16S ribosomal RNA". It matches the Rfam family "Bacterial small subunit ribosomal RNA", at positions 524 to 776 of the family's 1533-position model. The record is from RNAcentral.
UACAGAGGGUGCGAGCGUUGUCCGGAAUCACUGGGCGUAAAGGGCGCGUAGGCGGCCGCCUAAGUCAGACGUGAAAUCCCUCGGCUCAACCGGGGAACUGCGUUUGAUACUGGGUGGCUUGAAUUCGGGAGAGGGAUGCGGAACUCCAGGUGUAGCGGUGAAAUGCGUAGAUAUCUGGAGGAACACCGGUGGCGAAGGCGGCGUCCUGGACCAACACUGACACUGAGGAGCGAAAGCCAGGGGAGCAAACGGG